Long non-coding RNA from Anneissia japonica, 742 nucleotides. RefSeq lists it as uncharacterized. Lineage: Eukaryota; Metazoa; Echinodermata; Crinoidea; Comatulida; Comatulidae. The record is from RefSeq and is a predicted model, not a curated record. The transcript is spliced from 4 exons.
CGCCGGAUCAAAGUAAUUUCUAACAAAAUAAUGUCUGGAAAACGGAGUUCUUAACAGCUUCUAGGCCUACGUUAGUUAAAAUCAAUGUUUUUCGUAGGGAAUCACUGUAUGCCUUUUAGUAUUUUUGUUUAUUUGAAUCAUCUACAGUAGAGAGUGAACCUAUCCAAGGUCAUUGAUAUUCAGAUGGCACCCGCGAUAGUAUAAUACUGUAUAUAAUAAAAUACUCCCUGAUUCGACCGACCUAUCAUGUCAGCUUUACCGAAAGCUGUCGGUGAUAGCGUGUAGCGAUUUUAUGGAAACCAGGCUUUAGGAUCGGUCUUUGAGCGAUUGCUCUAGAGGUACCCCGUGCUCUGGGCAAGUUAAAUAUCGGAUAGGCAAACUUGCUUAGUGUGAACCAAAAAAAAAAACAUACGCAGACAUUAGAGGAAGCAAGAAAACAGCGUUGUGCGGAAACUAUGGUUUGGCCUUUCCUUCCCUCAUUGCUUUCAACUUCCUUCGACACAGGUGAACGAAACUUGACAGUUCAUUCGUAAUAUGGCUUCCACCAGCAAAAAGUCGAAAUAAAAUAUUUGCCGUACUUUUCUUCGAGAUAAGAUUCAGUGAAAUGUUGAAGUUAGCAUCUUUGAACGUGUGAAUUCUCACAUCAAUCUGUAAGGAAAUGUUUUUCACAAUCGUUCGGAAUUCACAAACACCUAAAAAUAAAUUCUCUCUUUUAUUGAAAAUAAAUGUUGAUGAAUAAACU